This 279-nucleotide ribosomal RNA is filed under the name uncultured bacterium. RNAcentral describes it as "partial 16S ribosomal RNA". It matches the Rfam family "Bacterial small subunit ribosomal RNA", at positions 506 to 784 of the family's 1533-position model. The record is from RNAcentral.
UGCCAGCCGCCGCGGUAAUACGUAGGGAGCGAGCGUUAUCCGGAAUUAUUGGGCGUAAAGCGUGCGUAGGCGGUUCGUUAAGUCAAAUCUGAAAGCCCACAGCUUAACUGUGGAGGGUGAUUUGGAACUGGCGAGCUUGAGUACGGCAGAGGUUAGUGGAAUUCAAUGUGUAGCGGUGGAAUGCGUAGAUAUAUUGAGGAACACCAGUGGCGAAGGCGGCUAACUGGACUGAUACUGACGCUGAGGUGCGAAAGUGUGGGGAGCAAACAGGAUUAGAUA